Small nuclear RNA from Nycticebus coucang (slow loris), 140 nucleotides. RefSeq annotates it as U4 spliceosomal RNA. The record is from RefSeq and is a predicted model, not a curated record. Lineage: Eukaryota; Metazoa; Chordata; Mammalia; Primates; Lorisidae. The transcript has a single exon.
CACUUUGUGCAGUGGCAGUAUCAGAGCAAAUGAGGUUUAUCACAGGUGCGAGGUGCGAGUGUUGCUAAUUUUCCCAAUACCUCACCAUGAUGACUUGGUAUAUAGUCAGCACUGGCAAUUUUUGACAGUCUCCAUGGAGA